RNAcentral lists this unclassified non-coding RNA (336 nucleotides) under soil metagenome. Its description in RNAcentral is "partial contains 5.8S ribosomal RNA, internal transcribed spacer 2, and large subunit ribosomal RNA". The stretch from base 1 to 120 matches the Rfam family "5.8S ribosomal RNA", at positions 35 to 154 of the family's 154-position model. The record is from RNAcentral.
GAUGAAGAACGCAGUGAAAUGCGAUAAGUAAUGUGAAUUGCAGAAUUCAGUGAAUCAUCGAAUCUUUGAACGCACAUUGCGCCCGCCAGUAUUCUGGCGGGCAUGCCUGUUCGAGCGUCAUUUCAACCAUCAUGCCCCAGGCUUGUGUUGGGGACCUGCGGCUGCCGCAGGCCCUGAAAACCAGUGGCGGGCUCGCUGUCACACCGGGCGUAGUAGAUUUUAUCUCGCUCAGGGCGUGCUGCGGGUUCCGGCCGUUAAAAAGCCUUUUUUACCCAAGGUUGACCUCGGAUCAGGUAGGAAGACCCGCUGAACUUAAGCAUAUCAAUAAGCGGAGGA